Molecule: long non-coding RNA, 1714 nt
Organism: Gallus gallus (chicken)
Lineage: Eukaryota; Metazoa; Chordata; Aves; Galliformes; Phasianidae
Source: Ensembl
GGGUUGAUGCAAUUUUGUCAUACUCUUUUGAAAAACAACUGCUGGUGUUAGGUCUAGGGUGUGAGCUGAAUCUGUGUGCGCUGUCCUUGGUCACAGCUGGAUAACCUUCAGCAAGUCAUUUCACGGAGCUGUGCCCUGCUUCCCACUUGCAGAAGGCCUGGGUUGGUCAACCUGCAAACGGAGCUGGCAACCCUCAGCCUCACUGUGAUGCACAGGUGAGUAUAGGCAAGCAGCCCUGGAACCGUCAGGAGUUUUGGAUGAGGAAGGGUAGGCAGCCAGAGGGAGUCCAAGGAGAAGGAAGGAAAGGUGUAAGUAAGUGUAAUUUUGCAUCGAAAGGACCCAAGACAAAACAUGCAUUGCAUCAGAUGCCUGUACGUGUACUGCUGCUUUUUGCCUUUUGUCCCUGCUGACUGUACUGGUGUUGCUGGCGUUGUGCUCCUCACUGCCAGAGCUGGUGCUUUCCCAGCUGAAAAAGUAAUCUACCUGCAACAGGCCAUGGAUCCCAAACUGCAGUCCAUUUCAAACAAACCCUCCAGGAAGAGGUCUCCUCUUCCAGAUGCUGCUCACCUUCAGAUCAUCAGCCCCGAACUGAAAGGCUUCUGCAAACCACUAUGCUGACUCAGCUAGACCUCUAAUCUCAGCUGGAUACACAAGUCCUCAAAGGCUGUUUGAAUCCUCCUGUGACUCUCUUGUGAGGAAAACUGAUACAUCUUCUGACGCUUCACAUCACAGUUACCAGUAUCAGACAGUGCUAAAGUAACCCCAGGGUAGUGGCUUUUCUGUGCUGUGUCAUCACCAUGCAGGAUGCACUGCCAUUGUGGCAGGAAAGGAUAAAACACUGGGUCAUCGUUGUUUCAUUGCAGGGUGCUUUUCUGUCCUAACAGCAAGAGGAAAUGAUCUCAGGAAGAAAGUAAAAGGAAGACAAAAGAUAAGGAAGAUAAGCUACUUGAAACUGGGCUUCUGAAAGAUUAUACCAAAAAAUUCCACCUUGGGAAGCUGCAAUUCUUAUAUACGGAAGAAUAUUAGAAGGGUAUUCGUGUGAUAACUGCAGCUUCUUUCUUUCAGUUCAACUCAGUAAUUUGUAUUGACAUGACACGCAUUGCCUAAACUUAAGAGACAAAAUCAUUGAGCAUCUGUCAUAGGUCAAAAUAAUAUAUCACGUAUCAGCUCUGAACUGGGUUUACACAGUGGCAACCACUUAAUCAGUCCAGUCGUGCAUUACUAAUGAACUCAUUACAGCAGUAUCUGAGUGCACCACUAUCCAGUCCCAAGUUUUACACUGUAUCUAUUAGGCAUUAAUAUCACAUGCCGCUUGCUUCUCCAUGCUUUUAAUAUUUGUACAUGGCACCUCAAUAUGCUGUCAAAGCAUCCAUUAAUUCACCACUGAGAAGCAAGAAAGCAUUACUGCCCUUGGAUUAUAGAUCAGAAAACAGUAGUGGAGAGAUUAUAUGAUUUGCCCAAGGCUAUAAAACCAGACACUUUCAGAUGAGGUUCAUUUCCAAAAGUCUGCACUGGGACUGCUAAUCCUUACUUGCCUGUCUAUAUUCAAAUGCCUGUUUUACCAAGAAUUAAAUGUAAAAUGGACUGACAGUAUGUCUGCAUCGAAUCACACCUCCCAUAUUUUCUAUAUGUUUCUGCUUUAUUUGACAUGGUUUAUUCUUUGUUCUCUUUUUUAACCAGAGCAAAUCUCUAGCAGCCUCACAGUAAAGGUAAA